UUCAACGCGAGCACCCAGCAGGAACCGAGUAGUUUGGGGCUCAGCUAAACCCGCAGAAUUUCUGCGACCCGAGCGGCUCCGAACAUCCUAACGUUGUACUAUUGGAUCUCUUGUCUCUCGUCAUAUUCGCCCGCUUGCGUGGCUGCGGGUUGUAGUUCGGCCGUGUCCUUCGUCACGUACCGAGUUUAUUUUGUGGUGCUUUCCAUACAGGUGCCGUAUACUUGCAGAUCCACAAUGAGUUACGCUCAGCUACAGCCGCAGGCUCCACAACCCACAGCCACAGGCAACCAACAACGCCAAGCUCAACAACAGACGAUCAACCUCUACGGAGGGAAGGGCAGCGGAGUGGGUUCCGUGGUGCAGUCGGAAGUAUCGCGAGAGCAGCAGACGGUAAUGUGGCAGCAGAAUUCGUACCUGGCUCACGGCAACACUGGUUCGGGAACCGACUCAGGUAUCCAGAGUGCAGGGCCUCUUUCAGUGGCUGGUGGUGCAGAAGACGGAAUGAUCUACGAUUGGGGUGACCAGAGCUCGACCGGAGCCAUUAGUAGUAAUUAUGGCGGAGCUCCAAAUACGGGAGAUCAGACCAACAGUAGCGUCGAUGAAGUCGGUGCUCAGCUGAGUCAAACGAGAUCACAGCGCGUUCGCGCUGCCAUGUUUCCCGAGACCCUCGACGAGGGAAUGGAUAUACCCAGCACCCAAUACGAUCCAAGCCAGCCAACUGCUGUUCAACGACUAUCAGAACCUUCACAAAUGCUACGUCAUGCCGUAGUCAACUUAAUUAAUUACCAGGACGAUGCUGACCUUGCGACGCGGGCCAUUCCAGAGCUAAUAAAGCUGCUGAACGACGAGGAUCAAGUAGUUGUCGGGCAAGCAGCGGUUAUGGUUCACCAGCUUUCGAAGAAGGAGGCUUCUCGGCACGCCAUCAUGAACUCCCCGCAAAUGGUGGCGGCCCUCGUAAAGGCCAUGGCUACUUCGAAUGACCUGGACACGACGCGCAGCGCUGCCGGCACCCUACAAAACCUCUCGCAACAUCGGCAAGGUUUAUUGGCCAUUUUUAAAUCUGGCGGUAUUCCCGCGCUCGUCAAACUGCUCUCGUCACCCGUGGAAAGUGUGCUUUUUUACGCUAUCACGACCCUCCACAAUCUGCUAUUACACCAAGAUGGCAGUAAAAUGGCAGUCCGGCUAGCAGGAGGACUCCAAAAAAUGGUAUCACUGCUUCAAAGGAACAAUGUCAAAUUCCUCGCGGUUGUCACGGAUUGUCUACAGAUCCUCGCUUACGGCAACCAAGAAUCGAAGUUGGUCAUCCUCGCAUCUGGAGGGCCAACGGAGCUCGUCAGGAUCUUACGAUGUUAUACCUACGAGAAACUGCUGUGGACCACUACGCGAGUGCUCAAGGUGCUAUCCGUGUGCUGCUCGAACAAACCGGCAAUCGUGGAGGCCGGUGGAGUGCAGGCGUUGGCUCAGCAUCUGAACCACGGUUCGCAGCGCCUGGUCCUCAACUGUCUCUGGACACUUCGCAAUCUUUCUGACGCCGCCAUUCGUCAGGACAAUCUGGAACAACUGCUUCACAACCUGGUCGAGCUACUAGCUUCGCCUGACAUGAACGUAGUAACAUGCGCUGCUGGUAUUCUUUCUAAUUUGACAUGCAAUAACCAGCGUAAUAAAUCAAUUGUAUGCCGCGUGCAAGGUUGCGAAGCCCUUGUACGAACGGUCAUUCAGGCAGGCGAUCGCGAAGAAAUCACAGAACCAGCAGUGUGUGCACUGCGCCACUUGACAUGCCGUCACCCUGAGGCCGAACUUGCCCAACAAGCAAUUCGACGAACGUACGGACUUCAAGUAUUUGUCAAGUUACUGCAUCCACCUGCACGGUGGCCACUUGUAAAGGCAGUGAUCGGACUGAUACGUAAUCUGGCUUUAUGCCCUGAUAAUAACGCGCCUUUGCGUGAGGAUGGGGCAAUACAACGUCUUAGCCAGAUUUUGCACAAGGCAUUCGGCGAUAUGACCGCGAGUCAUGCAAACGGAGGACCGGCGCCCCUCUGCGACGGAGUCAGCAUGGAAGAAGUAGUCGAAGGUACUGUGGGGGCUAUGCACAUCUUUUCCAAGGAUCCCAGCAAUCGUCCACUUAUCCGGUCACUGCAUGUAAUUCCUGUAUUCGUGCAACUCCUCUAUUCGGAUGUCGAAAACGUGCAACGUGUUGCGGUCAGUGUACUCUCUGAACUGGCAGCAGAUCGUGAAGGCGCUGACCAGAUAGAAGCUGAUGGAGCAACAGGACCGCUCACUGAACUAUUGCGUUCCGGAAAUGAAGCAGUUGCGACAUAUGCAGCAGCAAUUUUGUUCCGUAUGUCAGAUGACAAAUCUCAGGACUAUAAAAAGAGACUUUCCAUGGAACUCACUGCGGGUCUGAUGCGGCCAGGUGAGCACGGUACACCUCAGCCACCGCAUGUCGAUCCUAUGGACAUGGGAUUCGAUCCUGACGCGUAUAAUCCCUCCGGAAUGUAUCCUGCGCCCCCUCAUACCGCUCCAGGAGGACCCAGAAACCCCGGCCAGCAGCAAACCAACAAUAACAACAACAAUAAUUAUGCUGCUCAGGGUUUUAAGUUACUUUCGUAUUCUCUCCAUCACGAAACAGCUGUAAGCCCUGUGGGGAACGAAUAGCAAGUGGAGAACUAAAAAAUUCAGUUAAGGAGCACGCCAAAUCCGCUGAAGUACCCAGUAUAGUGCUGAAGUUGAUCCUGGCAUAUAUUUACUCAAUACGAAUAAGAUUAAAAGUAGCUUUGCUUUCAAGACCUGGGGGUCUCCGGGAAGAUAAUUUACACCGAAGGAUGGAGUAAUAUCUAACUCAAUAAAAAGCAGUAAGAAGAAUAAAAAUUAUUCAUCUCGUUGCUUCGGCUGCUUAAGUAUCGAUGGUAGACGAAUAACUGAAAUGCUAAAUGAAAGAGUAUGACGAGAGACUAGAUAUUCAUAUCGUGUCAACAAUAUACCAAUUAUAAUAUAUAAGAAUUAUUAUUCUAUUGCCAAUAUUUAAUAGACAAUGUAAUAAUAAUAAUCAUAUCUGAAAAAGGCUAAAUAACCUGUGGAUGAACGACGAGUGUAUAUGUGAGUAUAUGUGUGUUACCUCAAGUUUAUUUUCCGGUAAUAUAGCAAUCUAAUUGAAUUCAAGUCAUCGAUGUCAGGUUUACCGCGCAAUCUUAUUUUUUCGGGCGUGCCCAUUGACUCCACAUUCAGAAAUAUUUAUAGAUAACAUGAUUAUAAUUGUAGAACAAACGUUCUUUAAGUCUAUGGGUGAAGGUAACGGCGAGAUAUACCAUAUAGAGAUAAGAUAUUAUAUAUAUAUAUAGGCUGGAGACAAAUCAAGUCUCUUUCAGUGAAAGUGGAUCAGACGUACGCAUUAUCUGCGUUUCUGGAAAACUAAAAAUAUGGGUUGAAUAAAUUGAUUACGUAAAUGAUAUAGAAAAAUGAUGAAAAGGUAAAAGAAAUAAGAGAUGUCACCAUCGUAGUACAUUGCACAGGCACCUCACACUCUUGUGCGACAUACACACGUUCCCAAAACCAACGGCACCAUUAAUUUUUUCGCAAUGAGAAAUACAGAUCUUCUUACAAGAAGUUAUCAUUUUUACAUCGAUACAGGUACGAUUGUCCAGGUUGUCCAAAAUAAUAGACAAUAAAGAAUGGAAUGCAAGAAAGAAAGGUUUGACCAAAAAUGUAGAAAAAGGCAUGCAAGUUACACGUUACCGGGCUAACUCUCAGGGUUAUUAUAAUAUAAAGCGAGCAUUACAAGGAUCAAUCGAGCCAACUAAAACUCAAUCUCUGUCUAUAUGGUAUUCCCUAGUGUAAGAGAUCUUCUACAAACGCAAAUAGACACCUCUGUCCGGUACAGUGAGUGAAAAGACGGUGAAGUACAUAAAAAAGGGGUAAAUAUAAUUCCUUAUUCCAGAGAACAGUACGAAUCGCUCGCUAAAUAGGAAUUAGUAAUAACACGAUCAAAACAAUGAGAAGUGCGAGUAGCACAGUUUAUAUUGCAAAAGGGGAGGAUUAAAGAUAGAGUCAAGGGAUAACACAUACACACACACAAUAAGACAUGAAAAACGAUCUUGGCGAGCGAUUAAGCGGCGAAACUAGCAGAGUUAAAACGCGUGGCCAAGAUGUGGGAAGCGAUUAAUAAGUGUCAAUUACUUGAGACUAAGAAAUGCUGAAUUUUACGAUAGGUAUGUAGCGGAUGUCAAAGAAGACGAUAAUUAUUAUUAUAAUAACCACUGACAACGAGGCAGCGUGAGGAAGAAGGAAACAAAAGAACUUUUUUGUAUAUGUGUGAGUGUGCAUACAUGUAACCGUGCUACAGUCAACUCACAUCUACGAAUUCCGGAAAAAGUCCACGAAGGAAAGGAACUGUUUGCUACUGAACGCUUCUCGAAUGAAGAAAUGCGAAUGGCAGGCAGUCCAAUGUUCUCGUAUUGUACACGCUCGCAAUUGCAUGACUAACCUAACUGAACACAUUAGACAAAAAAAACUAAUAUUUUUAUGAAUGUUUGCAAUGCUGCGAGGAGCGCUUCUGAGAGGUUAUCCAGUCGACACACAAAUAGCCAUUAACUCUAUGCAGACUUUGGACAUUUCGAGUUCCCCUGUGGCGACACCGCACGCCGCUCA
Varroa destructor (honeybee mite) is the source of this 4644-nucleotide non-coding RNA. The record is from RefSeq and is a predicted model, not a curated record. NCBI's taxonomy places the organism in Eukaryota, Metazoa, Arthropoda, Arachnida, Mesostigmata, Varroidae.